This 1918-nucleotide ribosomal RNA is filed under the name human gut metagenome. RNAcentral's name for it is "bacterial LSU rRNA". It matches the Rfam family "Bacterial large subunit ribosomal RNA", at positions 1 to 1998 of the family's 2925-position model. The record is from RNAcentral.
UGAAGUAAGUAAGGGCGUACGGUGAAUGCCUUGGUGCCAACAGGCGAAGAAGGACGCGGCAAGCUGCGAAAAUCCUCGGGAAGCUGCAAGCAAGCGAUGAUCCGGGGGUAUCCGAAUGGGGUAACCUGAUCGAGGCAAUACUCGAUCGUUCAUACCUGAAUACAUAGGGUAUGAAACGCGAAACCCGCUGAAGUGAAACAUCUCAGUAAGCGGAGGAAAAGAAAGAGAAAUCGAUUCCGUAAGUAGUGGCGAGCGAAAGCGGAUGGAGCCCAAACCGAAGGUACUCCUUCGGGGUUGUAGGACCACGAGAUAUUCGACCAUACUGGAUAGUAGAACAGCCUGGAAAGGCUGGCCGUAGAAGGUGAAAGCCCUGUAGACGAAAUCCAGCGUGGGAAUUAGUGGAAUCCUGAGUAAUACAUCACACGUGGAACGAUGUAUGAAUCAGCGCGGACCACCGCGCAAGGCUAAAUACUAGUUGGCGACCGAUAGUGAACAAGUACCGCGAGGGAAAGGUGAAAAGAACCGCUGUGAGCGGAGUGAAAUAGAACCUGAAACCGUAUGUCUACAAAGUGUCAGAGCAGAGCAAUCUGCGAUGGCGUGCCUUUUGUUUAAUGAGUCUGCGAGUCAGUGUUUGUGGCAAGACUAAGGGCUUCCGGCCCGGAGUCGCAGCGAAAGCAAGUCCGAAUAGGGCGAAUUAAGUCGCAGGUACUGGACCCGAAGCGGAGGUGACCUACCCUUGGCCAGGUUGAAGCAUGGGUAAAACCAUGUGGAGGACCGAACAGGUGAACGUUGAAAAGUUCUCUGAUGAGCUGAGGGUAGGAGUGAAAGGCUAAUCAAACCCCGUGAUAGCUGGUUCUCUUCGAAAUGCAUUUAGGUGCAGCGUCACGUGCUGAUGCGCGGGGGUAGAGCACUGACAAGGCUAGGGGGCACACCCGCUUACCAAACCUUAUCAAACUCCGAAUACCGUGCAAUGGAACGUGGCAGUGAGACAGUGGGGGAUAAGCUUCAUUGUCGAGAGGGAAACAACCCAGACCAGCAGCUAAGGUGCCUAAAUAACGCUCAGUGGAAAGGAUGUGGGAUUACACAGACAGUGAGGAUGUUGGCUUAGAAGCAGCCACCAUUUAAAAAAUGCGUAAUAGCUUACUCAUCGAGUGAUCCUGCGCCGAAAAUGAUUGGCGAUCAAGCGUUAUACCGAAGCUCUGGACUUUACCUUACGGUAGAGUGGUAGAAGAGCGUUGCAUGCGCGUUGAAGGGUGAUGGCGACUGACCCUGGAGCACAUGCAAGUGAGUAUGCAGACAUGAGUAACGUAAAGCCGGGUGAAAUCCCCGGCCGCCGUAAACCCGAGGUUUCCAGGGCAACGUGUUUCGUCCCUGGGUUAGCCGGGACCUAAGCCGAGGCCGAGAGGCGUAGGCGAUGGAUAUCAGGUUAAUAAUCCUGAGCUCGCGACCCUUAAACUGGGGGGACGCAUGAGAAAAGAUGACUAGGUUAUUGAAUUCCGAGUUGAGUCCACGGACUCAGCGCAUCAUUGGAUCGAGUGCCAAGAAAAGCCCCAGCGUAUGCUAAGCGACCCGUACCGCAAACCGACACAGGUGGGUGGGUAGAAUAUACCAAGGCGUAAGAGUGAAACCUGGUUAAGGAACUCGGCAAAUUAGCCCCGUAACUUCGGAAGAAGGGGUGCCUGCAGCGAUGCAGGCCGCAGAGAAAUGGCCCAACCGACUGUUUAUCAAAAACACAGCACUCUGCAAAGACGCAAGUCGAAGUAUAGGGUGUGACACGUGACCAAUGCCGAAAGAUUAAGGCAAGGGGUUAGCCGCAAGGCGAAGCUCUGAACCCAAGUCCCGGUGAAUGUCGGCCGUAACUAUAACGGUCCUAAGGUAGCGAAAUUCCUUGUCGGGUAAGUUCCGACCUGCACGAAUC